This is an RNA transcript of Austrofundulus limnaeus, 2328 nucleotides long. It is a transcript of the gene named DNA cross-link repair 1C, PSO2 homolog (S. cerevisiae), with no coding region annotated. The transcript is spliced from 16 exons. The record is from RefSeq and is a predicted model, not a curated record. Lineage: Eukaryota; Metazoa; Chordata; Actinopteri; Cyprinodontiformes; Rivulidae.
ACAACGUAGAAGAAGAAACACAAACUUGGCGGACUAAACAAACGUAGUUCUCUAGCAAAGCCGUAAAACAUAAACCUCGUUUCAGCAAACAGGAUCGUUGAAUUCAGGUUUUGUCGGUAAAAAAGUUCGGCUCAAAGAUGAGUUCGUUCGCGGGACGAAUGAAGGAAUAUCCCACUAUUUCUCUGGACCGGUUCGACAGGGAGAACCUACACGCACAGGCCUAUUUCCUGUCCCAUUGUCACAAAGAUCACAUGAAGGGUCUGAAAGGACCUCUGCUGAAGAGGAAACUACAGUUCAGUCGAACCGUCAGACUUUACUGCUCCUUCGUGACCAAAGAGCUGCUGCUGAACAACCCGAAGUAYGCCUUCUGGGAGGAAAACAUUGUUCCUCUGGAGCUGGAGAGCCCGACUCAGAUCUCACUUGUUGAUGAAGCUUCUGGAGAGAAACAGGAGAUCGUGGUGACGUUGCUUCCUGCAGGUCACUGUCCCGGCUCGGUCAUGUUCCUGUUUGAGGGUGGCCACGGGAACGUCCUGUACACAGGUGACUUCAGGUUGGCUGUGGGAGACGUGUCCAGGAUGGAGCACCUGCACUCUGGCAGCAGGGUGAAAAACAUCCAGAGUGUUUAUCUGGACUCCACGUUCUACGACCCGCGGUUCUACCAGAUCCCCAGCCGGGAGGUCUGUCUGAGAGGGAUCUCAGAGCUCACAGGGAACUGGAUCAGUCAGAGUCCUCAUCACGUGGUGUGGCUGAACUGUAAGGCUGCGUACGGAUAUGAGUACCUGUUCACCAACCUGGGGGAGGAGUUUAACACUCAGAUCCACGUGAACAGUCUGGUCAUGUUCAAAAAGAUGCCAGAGAUCCUGAGCUACAUCACAACGGACCGCCGGACUCAGAUCCACGCCUGUCGACACCCCAAGGACGAGGAGUUUUUCCUGGGGAACCGGCUGCCGUGUGGCUGCACGGCCGCAGACGGGACGCCUCUUCGGAUCAUCAGCAUCAAACCGUCCACCAUGUGGUUCGGAGAGAGAAGCAAGAAGACCAACGUUUUAAUCAAAACAGGAAACAGUUCCUACAGAGCCUGUUUCAGCUUCCACUCCUCCUUCUCUGAGAUUAAAGACUUCCUGUCGUACCUUCAGCCCGUCAACAUUUACCCGAGCGUGGUCCCGAUCGGCCGCACGCUGCAGGAGGUCACACAGAUGUUGAGGAUGAUGUGCAGGAAGCAGCCUGACGAAGCAGCCAUCGUUUAUAAACCUCUGGGGGUCCUGAAGCGCAGCCGGAUGCAGCCGCCCACCAACGACUCGGGGAGCGACGAGGAUCUGUUUGAAGGUCUGGAUCUGGUGCCGGUCCGGAAGAAGGCGUACCUGAACCAGGAAGCAGAACGUGAGAACCCACCUGAGACCACAGCGCCCCCUGUGGACGAGUCGGUCCCUCUGGUGGUCUCCGACCCGCAGCCUGUUGGACAGAACUACUUCGACUGCACCGAGUCCAACGGAGAGGAGGAUGAUGAUGAUGAAGAGGAGGAGGAGGGAAAAGGAGACGCAGCGAAGGGAACCAAAGCGCCUCCUAAGUGGGAGGACUUCUUCUCAGCAGAGAUGCUGAGUGACAGCCAGAACAGCCAAUCACAGUCCUGCUGCUCCGUCAGGACCGCCUCCCCCUCCAGAGCCACGGGGUCUCAGACUCCAGAACUGUUCAGUGAUGAAGARGAGCAUCCUGACAACGAGGAGACCUUCAGCCUGGCGCUGUCCGCGUCUCUGUCGGACCGCUCCUCUCAGAACAUCGAGGACACUCUGAUCCUCCACCCAGAGACCCAGAACCACCCCGUCCAAUCAGAGCCCGAGGAGCUGCCGGCGUCUCAGGCCUCCUCGGACUUCGACGUCCCCGGCACGCCGGAGUCGAAGGCGCCGCGGCCCGACGAGCUGUCGCAGCUUUACAGGAAGUUGGCUUCAGGAGAGGAAGUGGCCAUCAGAGAGCGGAGAUUCACCUGAACCGGGCCGAGAGACGGGGGAGUCCCAGACCACACCUGGACCUGGAGUCCUCCAGGUGGGGCUUUGUUUUCACAGCUUCUGAGGUUUCUUUGGAACACUUGAGCUGCACCGAUCACUUCCUGGUCCACCACAUGAAGGACCGCCUGAGAACUGUUGGACAGAGUCUGAAGACACGGCCCAGGAGGAGGCUGCAGGCAACACAAAGACACGUCUGAGGAGACAAACAUCAUCCGUCAUCUCCAGAGAGAGGGAGCUCCACAUGGUGUCUGCACCUGAUGUCCUGGAACGUGUAGAUAAAGAGAAAUGUUUACUGUUCAAUAAAUAAAUAAAUAAUCUGACUUCA